UCAAAGGAAUUAAUCUUUUGGGUAAACGAACUGUACUGAAUCACUUCAUGAAACGAUUCGUUCGUGAACGUGAACUGGUCGUUCACUGACUGACUAUAGUUUGCAGACUCAGUGAACGAAUCAGUUCAUGUGCUGUUUAUUUUCAAUGAAAUAACAAGACUU
Long non-coding RNA from Anguilla rostrata (American eel), 162 nucleotides. RefSeq lists it as uncharacterized. The transcript is spliced from 2 exons. NCBI's taxonomy places the organism in Eukaryota, Metazoa, Chordata, Actinopteri, Anguilliformes, Anguillidae. The record is from RefSeq and is a predicted model, not a curated record.